This 1811-nucleotide long non-coding RNA is filed under the name Arabidopsis lyrata. Its description in RNAcentral is "long non-coding RNA (ALYR_LNC003254)". Lineage: Eukaryota; Viridiplantae; Streptophyta; Magnoliopsida; Brassicales; Brassicaceae. The record is from RNAcentral.
GUAAAAACCCUUGAAUUAAAACGUGUAAAAACCCUUGAAUUUUAAGAAACGUUUUUGCAAGACGGAGAAGACGAUGAUCGAGAUUGAGAUUUCUAAAUUCGUUUGGCACUUUUGUAUCAAUUUUUAAGAAGAACGAAGAAGAAGAAGAAAUAAGAAACUGUCACAAAUCGACUCUCCGUACAUCUCUGGUAAGUUUUUCCUCUUUCUCUCCAGCGGUUUCAGGCUGCUUUUGUUGGAUUCUGUCUAAAACUGGUCUAAUGAUUCAAUUCCUUCAAUAUGUAAAAGGUAAAAUAUGUAACUAUAGUUAUAAGUUCUUAGCUUACAUAUAUAAACUAUGUAAUUUUUUUUUAAGUCAUUGUGUGUUUGGAUUGCUGAAUUGAUAAAGAAAUUAAGAUUCUAUAUGGAAUUGGGAAGAACUGAAACUGCGAACCUUAAAACUCUAUUCUGACUGUUAUCACUAACCAGAGAAUACUAGAGAGAAUAUCAAAGAAUCAGUGAAAUUGUUUCAGUUACUAUUGAACUAAACGAAUACAGAGAUCAAUGAACUCGAAACAUACCCACUUGAGCGUUGAAGGGAGAAGCAAGAUAAAGAAAACAAACUCUGGAAUCCUCCUCUAAUUCUAUGUAAAACAACACAAGAAGUAACAAUAUCUACACAUUUCAUAACCUUAGUUUAAAAGUCAAUUAGUCAUUAUCUAAUCCAAUAGGAAAUGAAUAUAAAACAGAGUGAAAACAGACAGGAGCAGCUAUGUCAUGACCACUAGAAACUUGUAGGAAAUAUUGUUUCAUGUUCUGAUGUAAUUACGUUAAUCCAACUAUUUACUUCAGGAUUUAAAAUCUAAAGAAACUAAUCUAUACUCUUAACUCACCACAAGUUCCUCUCACCACUGAAAAAUUGAAAGAACUUCAGCCUAAUCAUACUGGUAAGUUUUACAAAUUACAGGACUCCAAUUCCAAUAGACUAAACGCUACAUAACCUAUAAACCAAAGUAAGACAAUAUCACAUGUUCCUAACUCACCACAAGUUCAUGUCACCACUAUAAAUCGACAGAACUUCAGCUUAUUCAUAACGGUAAGCUUCAAAAGGAUUACAAACCCAAUUUAAAAACACUUCAUAACCUAAUGGUAAGUUGCAUAGAGACACUAAACCAAAGCAAAGAUGCAAAUGUGUUGAAGAAACUAAAAACAUCGCUCUAACAUUCACAAAGACAUAACCCGAUGAUACUAACCGCAAUUACACAAUGAAUGCCACAAAGCAAACAAUGUGGUAGAAAAAAAGCAUCAAGCAAAACAAACCACAAACCACAAACCAAACCACUCAAAGAUUGACAACAAAACAAAAAAGGUAAACAAUUUACCAACAAAGAUAACACAAAAGAAAGGAAGCAGAUUUCGCAUAAUUAUGAAACAUCAAAACCCAUAAAGCCAAAACCAAGCAACAAAAUGAAGACACUUACUCAUACUAAGGAAAACAUCUUCAAAUAUCCAUAGUACCAAAUCCACAAGUCAUCAUCAUCAUCAUCAUUACAAGAACACAGAACUCAAUCUAGCAAAAGCAAAACCCUAAUAAACAGAUUAUAAAGAAAGAUAAUUUCAAGCCUCACUCUUCUCCUCCUCUGAAACAGAACCUGCAUCAUCUUUAGAAACCUCACUAGCAUCAGUAUUCACAUCCUCCACACUUCCAUUCCCAUCAUUACCAUUAGAUCUAGCCUUAACAGAUUCAAGCAUCCUCUUACUAAUCUCUUUAGAAUAAACCUCAAGAAUCUUAAUCCCAUCAUCAUCACUCACCACAGCAUUCGAAGCAACACCAU